This is a long non-coding RNA of Arabidopsis thaliana (thale cress), 390 nucleotides long. RefSeq annotates it as other RNA. The record is from RefSeq. Lineage: Eukaryota; Viridiplantae; Streptophyta; Magnoliopsida; Brassicales; Brassicaceae. The transcript has a single exon.
GAUGCACCUUCCAAACAUAAAUGGAUAAUAUGCCCAAAAGAUUCAGGCCCAUUAAAAGCCCAAUUAAAAUUAUAGCGCCGAAGAUACCGCCCGAGUCCCGACUAAUGCAUCUCUUAUCUUUCUAAAAAGCGCCAAACCCGUGGCAAUAUGUCAUAGUAUCUGAUCCGUACUUGACCCGUUCAAAUACCAACGGGCUAUAGGAUCCGGCUUCAUACCCGGAAUAUAUGGGCCUAAAUGAUAGAAAGCCAAACGUCUAAUUGAAGGACUUUCAUCAUCAAUAAUUCAGUAUUAUGUUCAUCAACUGAAGGACUUCCAUCAUUAGUAUCUUCUUUUUGUUUUUUUAUCCAUCAUCAUCAGUAUCUUCUGUUCUUCUUCAACAACAAUUUCAGU